This 811-nucleotide ribosomal RNA is filed under the name uncultured Planctomycetota bacterium. RNAcentral describes it as "bacterial SSU rRNA". It matches the Rfam family "Bacterial small subunit ribosomal RNA", at positions 34 to 825 of the family's 1533-position model. The record is from RNAcentral. Lineage: Bacteria; Pseudomonadati; Planctomycetota.
CGUUGGCGGCGUGGAUGAGGCAUGCAAGUCGAACGUGAAAACCUUCGGGUGAGUAGCGUGGCGGACGGGCGAGUAACACGUAAUCAAGCUGCCUGCUAGACGGGGAUAACUUCGGGAAACCGAUGGUAAGACCCGAUGGUCUCACGACAUCGCAUGGUGAUGUGAGUAAAUGGACGGGACCCUCCGGGGCCGCCUGCUAGCAGAGGUGAUUGCGGCCCAUCAGUUUGUUGGUAGGGUAAUGGCCUACCAAGACUACGACGGGUAGCCGGCCUAAGAGGGUGGUCGGUCGCACUGGGACUGAGACACUGCCCAGACUCCUACGGGAGGCUGCAGUCGAGAAUCUUCCGCAAUGGACGAAAGUCUGACGGAGCGACGCCGCGUGGAGGACGAAGGCCUUCGGGUUGUAAACUUCUGUCACGAGUUAAGAAGUCUGCAUGACGAAUAGUUGUGUAGAUUGACAAAGGCUCGAGAGGAAGCACUGGCUAACUCUGUGCCAGCAGCCGCGGUAAUACAGAGAGUGCGAACGUUGUUCGGAAUUACUGGGCUUAAAGAGUACGUAGGCGGCAUGACAAGUGUUAGGUGAAAUCCCACGGCUCACCCGUGGAACUGCCUAGCAAACUGUCGAGCUAGAGUGUGGUAGGGGAGAACAGAACUCAUGGUGGAGCGGUGAAAUGCGUAGAUAUCAUGAGGAAUACCGGUGGCGAAGGCGGUUCUCUGGUCCACAACUGACGCUGAGGUACGAAAGCUAGGGUAGCGAACGGGAUUAGAUACCCCGGUAGUCCUAGCCGUAAACGAUGGGCACUAGCUUGGG